This 503-nucleotide ribosomal RNA is filed under the name uncultured bacterium. RNAcentral's name for it is "partial 16S ribosomal RNA". It matches the Rfam family "Bacterial small subunit ribosomal RNA", at positions 30 to 523 of the family's 1533-position model. The record is from RNAcentral.
AUUGAACGCUGGCGGCAGGCUUAACACAUGCAAGUCGAGCGGGGGAAGGUAGCUUGCUACCGGACCUAGCGGCGGACGGGUGAGUAAUGCUUAGGAAUCUGCCUAUUAGUGGGGGACAACAUCUCGAAAGGGAUGCUAAUACCGCAUACGUCCUACGGGAGAAAGCAGGGGAUCACUUGUGACCUUGCGCUAAUAGAUGAGCCUAAGUCGGAUUAGCUAGUUGGUGGGGUAAAGGCCUACCAAGGCGACGAUCUGUAGCGGGUCUGAGAGGAUGAUCCGCCACACUGGGACUGAGACACGGCCCAGACUCCUACGGGAGGCAGCAGUGGGGAAUAUUGGACAAUGGGGGGAACCCUGAUCCAGCCAUGCCGCGUGUGUGAAGAAGGCCUUAUGGUUGUAAAGCACUUUAAGCGAGGAGGAGGCUCUUUUGGUUAAUACCCAGAAUGAGUGGACGUUACUCGCAGAAUAAGCACCGGCUAACUCUGUGCCAGCCGCCGCAGUAA